UGUUUGCAAAAUUUCAAAUACAGAACAUACAAAAGUUUCUCAUUUUAUGAGCAAUUCUUUGACUGUGAGGGUGCUCUUAGAGAAGGCAUUUAAUUCCCAUGCAUGGUACACACUUGACAUGCUCACUGGUGUUGCAGUACAGGUGUGUUGUACUGCAAAGAUAGUUGCUGUGUACAGUUUCUUUUCAAACACCUUGUGGAAAUUUGUGAAGCGUAUAUGAAUAUUCAACAUUCCUUAAAUAUUUGUGGUGUUGACAGUUUUCUGAAUUUCACAGAAAAACAAGUUCAGAGAUAAACAUGGGACUGGAGAACUUCUCUUUGACGGCAGUCAUCUGAUGUACUACUCAUCCCUACUCAGAUUCAUAACAAAAUGCCACAAACAAUUUUCAAACCAUGUCAUCUCACUACCACUUAAUCUCCAAAGGGCAUUUUACUGUUAAAAUAAGGUGUAUCACUGUUUCCUAUUGAUCUGUUUAAAAUCCAGAGAGCAAGAAGACCAGAAUAUACCGAUACAAGCAUUUAUUACCCCAAAGCAAGCCACCAUCCAUGAAGCUCCAAUAGUAGCUAGUGGAGAGGGUGACAAGGAAAAGGAGAAAAAAACAGUCACAGAGACAGUGCUGAAUAAUGACCCUUUAACAGAGAAUAAAGGAGCCACGGAGGAAGAUCAAGAAAAGCAAGAGGACCGAGAACUCAGGCAACUGUGGUUGACUGACCUUUGCUAACAAUGGGGAAUAUCAUGUCCAGAUUGUGUACUAUAAUAAUAAUAAUACAGCAUUUGUAGUGCGCAAAUUCCAUGUGGAUAUGGUCAAAUGCGCAUUAUAACAUAUCAGUAUUUUAAAAGGUAAUAUUUUUUAAAUUCUUGUUCAUCAAUAAUGCUAUGUUGAAGUUAAUUUGUACGCGAAUCCGACAAUUAUUUCAUUUUCCUUUUCACCAUCUUGUGAGUUGUUUAGGAAUGUUCUCCGUCAUUUCAUUUUAUUAGGAAUUAACUCAAUAAAAAAAAACGAAUCUCCAACACUC
Molecule: long non-coding RNA, 1016 nt
Organism: Stylophora pistillata
Lineage: Eukaryota; Metazoa; Cnidaria; Anthozoa; Scleractinia; Pocilloporidae
Source: RefSeq, a predicted model, not a curated record